AGAGUUUGAUCAUGGCUCAGAAUCAACGCUGGCGGCGUGCCUAACACAUGCAAGUCGAGCGAGAAAGUGUAGCAAUACAUGAGUAAAGCGGCGCACGGGUGAGUAACACGUGGGUAAUCUGCCCUCGAGUGGGGAAUAACACCGGGAAACCGGUGCUAAUACCGCAUACGAUCACGAUUUCUUCGGAUUUUGUGAUGAAAGGAGCAAUUCGCUCUUGGAGGAGCCCGCGGCUGAUUAGCUAGUUGGUGAGGUAAUGGCUCACCAAGGCAACGAUCAGUAGCCGGUCUGAGAGGACGGUCGGCCACACUGGAACUGAGACACGGUCCAGACUCCUACGGGAGGCAGCAGUGGGGAAUUUUUCGCAAUGGGGGCAACCCUGACGAAGCAGCGCCGCGUGGAUGAUGAAGUAUCUCGGUACGUAAAAUCCUUUCGACGGGGAAGAAAACCGCAAGGUUUGACGGUACCCGUAGAAGAAGCCCCGGCUAACUCCGUGCCAGCAGCCGCGGUAAUACGGGGGGGGCAAGCGUUGUUCGGAAUUACUGGGCGUAAAGGGCGCGUAGGCGGUUCGCUAAGUUGAAUGUGAAAACUCUGGGCUUAACCCAGAGCCUGCAUUCAAUACUGGCGGGCUAGAGUUCUGGAGGGGAUAGCGGAAUUCCUGGUGUAGCGGUGAAAUGCGUAGAUAUCAGGAGGAACACCGGUGGCGAAGGCGGCUAUCUGGACAGAGUCUGACGCUGAGGCGCGAAAGCUAGGGGAGCAAACAGGAUUAGAUACCCUAGUAGUCC
Molecule: ribosomal RNA, 782 nt
Filed under: uncultured bacterium
Lineage: Bacteria
Description: bacterial SSU rRNA
Rfam family: Bacterial small subunit ribosomal RNA
Source: RNAcentral